This is a non-coding RNA of Peromyscus maniculatus bairdii (prairie deer mouse), 972 nucleotides long. The record is from RefSeq and is a predicted model, not a curated record. NCBI's taxonomy places the organism in Eukaryota, Metazoa, Chordata, Mammalia, Rodentia, Cricetidae.
CGUGCGUGGGUCAGGAAGCCAGGCAGAAGCCAAGGCGUGGGGGAAGACUGCUCCUCGGCUUGGGCUACGAGGCCCAGCACAGAAGUUCCAGAGCGAGGGGCUCAUGGGAGAAAGAGGAAGUACGGAGAGAGGCAAGAAUGCAUCUCCAGAGGUCCAGAUUAGGUCAUCUGGAGGCUGACUCGUUGGACUCUUAGAAUUGGAUUGUCUGGAGGAGGCAGCUUCAGAGAGAAGAAAAACUGAUGUGGCAGCCGCACUCUCUGGGGGGCCUCAGAACAUUCAUUUCUCUGAUUCAGCCAGGAAGCCAACCAGCAGGAAGCCUGUCUUCCUUCGGACUCUGUGACUGCUGAAGUCAGGAAGAAUGAGUUUAAUUCGUGCAGGGGGCUGAGGUCUGUGGCGGUACCAGCACCAGAGAGGAGUGAGUGCUGAUGUCAAAGAGGAGAAGAAAGCUCAAAGUGAAGUCCUCCGAGGUCGCGCUUCAUCCCUCCCUGUCUAAUAAAGCUUGGCUGGUUUCGCUAGCACCCUGAUUCGGUGUGAUGUUCCAGAAAGUGAAGAGGGGGAAUGCUUUUCUGCAAUGCAAACAGAAACACGGGCUGGAGAGAUGAUGCAGUUGCUCAGGGUGUUUCCUGCUCUGGUAGAGGAUCCUGUUUUGGUUCUCAGCAUCCACAUCAGUGGGCUCACAACCACCUGAUACUUCCGUUGCAGGGGACCUGACACCCUCUUUUGGCCUCUGUGGACACGCACACAUAUGUGCAGUUCACGAACACGCAAACACAAACACACACAAAUAAUAAAGUAUGUUGUUUUUUUUAAGUACCAUUACAAAGUCGUAAGAAAAUAUUCACAGUUCAUUUAAUGAACAAGGUCUCAUCUCCUUUAUGUAUAGAAUGUUCUCAUAAAUCAAUAAGAAAAAGACCACCAGCCCAAAGAAAAAUGUGUAAAAUAAAAUUCACAGAAAGAGGAUGUAUUUGUUAA